UACGUAGGGGGCAAGCGUUGUCCGGAUUUAUUGGGCGUAAAGAGCGUGUAGGCGGUUCGGUAGGUCCGUUGUGAAAACUCGAGGCUCAACCUCGAGACGCCGAUGGAAACCGUCUGGCUAGAGUCCGGAAGAGGAGAGUGGAAUUCCUGGUGUAGCGGUGAAAUGCGCAGAUAUCAGGAAGAACACCCGUGGCUAAGGCGGCUCUCUAGUACGUGACUGACGCUGAGACGCGAAAGCGUGGGGAGCGAACAGG
RNAcentral lists this ribosomal RNA (253 nucleotides) under uncultured bacterium. Its description in RNAcentral is "partial 16S ribosomal RNA". It matches the Rfam family "Bacterial small subunit ribosomal RNA", at positions 524 to 776 of the family's 1533-position model. The record is from RNAcentral.